AAAAAGGAAUUAGACAAAUAGGUUUUUCACCUGUUUAUUAAAAACAUGUCUUUUUG
Molecule: transfer RNA, 56 nt
Filed under: Scydmaeninae sp. BMNH 1274313
Lineage: Eukaryota; Metazoa; Arthropoda; Insecta; Coleoptera; Staphylinidae
Description: Scydmaenidae sp. BMNH 1274313 tRNA-Lys
Source: RNAcentral